GAAAUGCGAUAAGUAGUGUGAAUUGCAGAAUUCAGUGAAUCAUCGAAUCUUUGAACGCACAUUGCGCCCCUCGGUAUUCCGUGGGGCAUGCCUGUUCGAGCGUCAUCUACACCCUCAAGCUCUGCUUGGUGUUGGGCGUCUGUCCUGCCUCCUUCGCGCGCGGACUCGCCCCAAAUCCAUUGGCGGCGGCCCUUGCCUCCCUCUCGCGCAGCACAUUGCGCUUCUCGAGGCGCGGCGGACCGCGUCCAGCAAGCAACCGUCACACCGUCUUUGACCUCGGAUCAGGUAGGGAUACCCGCUGAACUUAAG
This 309-nucleotide unclassified non-coding RNA is filed under the name plant metagenome. RNAcentral describes it as "partial contains 5.8S ribosomal RNA, internal transcribed spacer 2, and large subunit ribosomal RNA". The stretch from base 1 to 105 matches the Rfam family "5.8S ribosomal RNA", at positions 50 to 154 of the family's 154-position model. The record is from RNAcentral.